CUCCUGAAUUUAGGCGAAGAGGCCUGUCAGAUUUAGUGCUCAGGCUCCCAGAAGAAAGGUGGAUUUAAGGGGCUCCUUUAAAAAAAAGAGCUAAUCAAUAUUCCCCCCACAGGAGGGCUCUUGAUUUAAAUACUUUGUUCUGGGAGUAAAUCAUUGCAAGACUGGGAGAGGAGCCCGGUGGGCCUGCGGGGCCAUCCUGUGCCACAAGAGGGUGUGCUUGAGGGCAUUGGCUUGCCCCUACCAGUAUAGUGUAUUCCUCUUCCUGUAGCUAUACUGCUCUGGGCACCUACAAUAAUACAGUCUUCUCCGGCACUUGUCAUCAUUAGGCCUCAAAGCACUUUACAAAGGAGUAUUACAUGGGCUCUGCCAGGAUUAAAAACGUCCACACGAUCUUCCUCUGCUUAUGCCACUGCGGGUUAGGAUCAUUAUCCGAUGCUGAGCUCUGCCUAUUGGCCUCUCUGCUGUACUUUGACUGCACGCCGGAACAGACUGGAUCCUUUGUUCAGGAAUGCACAUGAGCCUUCGCUUCCUCUAGCUCAGGGGUCGGCAGCCUUUCAGGACUGGACUCUGGGAAGGAUGCCGUUGCUUCAGCUGCAAAGGGACUUUCCAGUGUGCAGCCCUACCAACCACAAACAUUCAUAAAGGAUGAGUCAGGCCUGCAUACCUCAUUGGUUGAAAGCUCCCGAUAUUUUUUUUUCCGCCAAAGAAUAGAUGUGAGACUUUUCUGGCUUCUGAGCCUUUUGGGGUCUGAUUUUCUAGCACUUCCCUGCAAUCACAAGAGGGAAAAAGGUUAUUUUUCAAAGAAAAGAGCAAGCAAGCAAGCUGAGAUUCUCACCUAAUCACCUGACUUCAGGAGCUCGGGCUUUAAGAAAAACACCAGAGAGUAUACAACUCUUGAUGACAACACCAGAGCUGGCAAUACUGAUAGCAUGGGGCUCUGGGACUGUAUGAGGCCCUAGAGACUGCAACUCCAGGGAAUCAGAUCAGGCCAGACAGCGAGAUUCUUGCAGCUUGUCCUGCAGCUUGUCUUUGUGCUGACACUUCUGUGAUAACAAUCUCCGCGGCUUGCGGGUGGCUGCUGUGGUUCUAAGAACAGAGCUCGGCCACCUUCCUCCAACGCGCUCCGGUGGCUUUACGCUGACUUAUUUGCAUAGAGGGGAAAAUACAAGUGGUUUUGAAUGGAAGCUGUUCAAGAGACGCAAUGGUUACUUGAGAUUGAGCCCCUCAAAUAUGAGGGUUGCCUGAAAUGGA
Mauremys reevesii (Reeves's turtle) is the source of this 1251-nucleotide long non-coding RNA. RefSeq lists it as uncharacterized. The transcript has 3 exons. The record is from RefSeq and is a predicted model, not a curated record. Lineage: Eukaryota; Metazoa; Chordata; Testudines; Geoemydidae.